UUAGGGUGUGUUUGAUAGGGUUUAUUAUGUGAGAUAGAUAAUAUUUCUCACCAUUUCUAAGUGUUUGAUAGGCUAUCUCAAUAAUCUUCCAGGCCCGCAAAAGAGGUGAAGCCCGCACCAAAACACUGUAGCAUUUAGAAAAUACAUCCGCCCCACCCCACCGGAUCGGUUUUCUCACUUUGAACAGUGAUUGAGAUUAGGUUUUGUGUUUCCAAUUUUCUCCCUGAAGUUAGUUCAAAAUCGGUACACAGCGAAGAUGAGUUCUUCAGUCGAAUCCCCUUGAAUAUUUGUUUGCUUUUGAUACAAAUCUGAAAGGGGCGGUGGAAGCUUACCGGGAGGAGAUAAGAGCUGCUCGCGACGGCGACAGGGAGACGGGACGCGAUUUUAUUUUGGGUUGGGGGCGACGGGAGACAUGAAUUUGAGGGUGGGGCAUGGCGCCGUUGGAGGGAGGAAGGCUGCGAAUAUUUUUUUUGCAGACAAAGAUGGGGGAGGCGUAAAUUGGCUGAGGAAGAAAGGGUUGGGGUAGAGGGGGGAGGUGUCUGCACAACAAAGGGAGAAAGGGGUGGUGUGUGUGGGUGGGGGGCAGGUGUCUGCACAACAAAAGGGGUGAGGGGUGGGGUGUUACGUGUUCUACCAGUACUUUUUUUCUUUUUUUUUCCCCAAUUAUGCUAGGAUAAAUUUUGUCAUUUGUUGUAAUAGUAGAGGGCAUUCAGGUAAUUUCAGCAUUUAAUAUGUCUGUUAAAUUAUUUUAGCAGAAUCUAUCAAACAUCUAAUUCCAGUUAUACAUA
Molecule: long non-coding RNA, 788 nt
Organism: Salvia miltiorrhiza (redroot sage)
Lineage: Eukaryota; Viridiplantae; Streptophyta; Magnoliopsida; Lamiales; Lamiaceae
Exons: 2
Source: RefSeq, a predicted model, not a curated record